RNAcentral lists this ribosomal RNA (418 nucleotides) under uncultured bacterium. RNAcentral's name for it is "bacterial SSU rRNA". It matches the Rfam family "Bacterial small subunit ribosomal RNA", at positions 30 to 442 of the family's 1533-position model. The record is from RNAcentral.
AUUGAACGCUGGCGGCAGGCCUAACACAUGCAAGUCGAACGGUAACAGGAAGAAGCUUGCUUCUUUGCUGACGAGUGGCGGACGGGUGAGUAAUGUCUGGGAAGCUGCCUGAUGGAGGGGGAUAACUACUGGAAACGGUAGCUAAUACCGCAUAACGUCGCAAGACCAAAGAGGGGGACCUUCGGGCCUCUUGCCAUCGGAUGUGCCCAGAUGGGAUUAGCUAGUAGGUGGGGUAACGGCUCACCUAGGCGACGAUCCCUAGCUGGUCUGAGAGGAUGACCAGCCACACUGGAACUGAGACACGGUCCAGACUCCUACGGGAGGCAGCAGUGGGGAAUAUUGCACAAUGGGCGCAAGCCUGAUGCAGCCAUGCCGCGUGUAUGAAGAAGGCCUUCGGUUGGUAAAGUACGUUUACUAG